UUACCAUGCAAGUCGAACGGUGAAGCCCAGCUUGCUGGGUGGAUCAGUGGCGAACGGGUGAGUAACACGUGAGCAACCUGCCCCUGACUCUGGGAUAAGCGCUGGAAACGGCGUCUAAUACUGGAUACGAGUAGCGACCGCAUGGUCAGUUACUGGAAAGAUUUAUUGGUUGGGGAUGGGCUCGCGGCCUAUCAGCUUGUUGGUGAGGUAAUGGCUCACCAAGGCGUCGACGGGUAGCCGGCCUGAGAGGGUGACCGGCCACACUGGGACUGAGACACGGCCCAGACUCCUACGGGAGGCAGCAGUGGGGAAUAUUGCACAAUGGGCGCAAGCCUGAUGCAGCAACGCCGCGUGAGGGAUGACGGCCUUCGGGUUGUAAACCUCUUUUAGCAGGGAAGAAGCGAAAGUGACGGUACCUGCAGAAAAAGCGCCGGCUAACUACGUGCCAGCAGCCGCGGUAAUACGUAGGGCGCAAGCGUUAUCCGGAAUUAUUGGGCGUAAAGAGCUCGUAGGCGGUUUGUCGCGUCUGCUGUGAAAUCCGGAGGCUCAACCUCCGGCCUGCAGUGGGUACGGGCAGACUAGAGUGCGGUAGGGGAGAUUGGAAUUCCUGGUGUAGCGGUGGAAUGCGCAGAUAUCAGGAGGAACACCGAUGGCGAAGGCAGAUCUCUGGGCCGUAACUGACGCUGAGGAGCGAAAGGGUGGGGAGCAAACAGGCUUAGAUACCCUGGUAGUCCACCCCGUAAACGUUGGGAACUAGUUGUGGGGUCCAUUCCACGGAUUCCGUGACGCAGCUAACGCAUUAAGUUCCCCGCCUGGGGAGUACGGCCGCAAGGCUAAAACUCAAAGGAAUUGACGGGGACCCGCACAAGCGGCGGAGCAUGCGGAUUAAUUCGAUGCAACGCGAAGAACCUUACCAAGGCUUGACAUAUACGAGAACGGGCCAGAAAUGGUCAACUCUUUGGACACUCGUAAACAGGUGGUGCAUGGUUGUCGUCAGCUCGUGUCGUGAGAUGUUGGGUUAAGUCCCGCAC
Molecule: ribosomal RNA, 1031 nt
Filed under: Microbacterium phyllosphaerae
Lineage: Bacteria; Bacillati; Actinomycetota; Actinomycetes; Micrococcales; Microbacteriaceae
Description: bacterial SSU rRNA
Rfam family: Bacterial small subunit ribosomal RNA
Source: RNAcentral